Molecule: ribosomal RNA, 439 nt
Filed under: uncultured bacterium
Lineage: Bacteria
Description: partial 16S ribosomal RNA
Rfam family: Bacterial small subunit ribosomal RNA
Source: RNAcentral
CCUACGGGUGGCAGCAGUGGGGGAUAUUGCACAAUGGAGGAAACUCUGAUGCAGCGACGCCGCGUGAGGGAAGACGGUCUUCGGAUUGUAAACCUCUGUCUUUGGGGAAGAAAAUGACGGUACCCAAAGAGGAAGCUCCGGAUCACUACGUGCCAGCAGCCGCGGUAAUACGUAGGGAGCGAGCGUUGUCCGGAAUUACUGGGUGGUAAGGGAGCGUCGGGGGGCGAGAAAGUUGAAUGUUAAAUCUACCGGAUAAAGUGGGAGCUGCGUUCGAAACUGGUUGUCUUGAGUGAAGUAGAGGCAGGCGGAAUUCCGAGGGUAGCAGUGAAAUGCGUAGAUAUUUGGAGGAACACCAGUGGCGAAGGCGGCCAGCUGGGCUUUAACUGACGCUGAGGCUCGAAAGCGUGGGGAGCAAACAGGAUUAGAUACCCGGGUAGUC